Molecule: non-coding RNA, 366 nt
Organism: Pelobates cultripes (western spadefoot toad)
Lineage: Eukaryota; Metazoa; Chordata; Amphibia; Anura; Pelobatidae
Source: the annotation of a GenBank genome assembly
GAAAUACUGUGGCAAUAAUUAUGUUUAGGAGACAUCAUGUAUCCAAACACAGAUCCACCAUAUGUAUGAGAAACCUUGAUUUACCUAUAUUGUACAAUUUUUGGGCAGCUAAACAUAAUUUGUUCCAUUAAGCUUUAACAUGGUUAAGUAGCACUAACUACAUGAGGGGAAUAUAGUUUGAGACACCUCAAACAGAGGAAGCUCUAUUGAGUUGAAUUUCAUGGUAUAACUUUGAAUAAAUAGAGAGGGAUAAUGACCUUUUCUGUAGAUAUAUUUUAUAUUUUCUAGCCUGAAUGUGCUUUUAUGUGCUGGUUGAGUUGUGUGUGUGCUGUCUGGAUUAUUUAUUUAUGUGUACAGGAGUCUGAG